RNAcentral lists this ribosomal RNA (305 nucleotides) under uncultured bacterium. RNAcentral describes it as "bacterial SSU rRNA". It matches the Rfam family "Bacterial small subunit ribosomal RNA", at positions 338 to 659 of the family's 1533-position model. The record is from RNAcentral.
CCUACGGGGGGCAGCAGUGGGGAAUUUUGCGCAAUGGGGGAAACCCUGAUGCAGCAACGCCGCGUGCGGGACGAAGGCCCUCGGGUUGUAAACCGCUUUCAGCAGGGAAGACUUUACGACGGUACCUGCAGAAGAAGCUCCGGCUAACUACGUGCCAGCAGCCGCGGUAAUACGUAGGGGGCGAGCGUUAUCCGGAUUCAUUGGGCGUAAAGCGCGCGUAGGCGGCCGCCUAAGCGGGACCUCUAACCCCGGGGCUCAACCCCGGGCCGGGUCCCGGCCGGGGCGGCUCGGGUGCGGUAGAGGAG